This 453-nucleotide ribosomal RNA is filed under the name Staphylococcus aureus. RNAcentral's name for it is "partial 23S ribosomal RNA". It matches the Rfam family "Bacterial large subunit ribosomal RNA", at positions 2470 to 2925 of the family's 2925-position model. The record is from RNAcentral. Lineage: Bacteria; Bacillati; Bacillota; Bacilli; Caryophanales; Staphylococcaceae.
GGGGAUAACAGGCUUAUCUCCCCCAAGAGUUCACAUCGACGGGGAGGUUUGGCACCUCGAUGUCGGCUCAUCGCAUCCUGGGGCUGUAGUCGGUCCCAAGGGUUGGGCUGUUCGCCCAUUAAAGCGGUACGCGAGCUGGGUUCAGAACGUCGUGAGACAGUUCGGUCCCUAUCCGUCGUGGGCGUAGGAAAUUUGAGAGGAGCUGUCCUUAGUACGAGAGGACCGGGAUGGACAUACCUCUGGUGUACCAGUUGUCGUGCCAACGGCAUAGCUGGGUAGCUAUGUGUGGACGGGAUAAGUGCUGAAAGCAUCUAAGCAUGAAGCCCCCCUCAAGAUGAGAUUUCCCAACUUCGGUUAUAAGAUCCCUCAAAGAUGAUGAGGUUAAUAGGUUCGAGGUGGAAGCAUGGUGACAUGUGGAGCUGACGAAUACUAAUCGAUCGAAGACUUAAUCAA